RNAcentral lists this transfer RNA (74 nucleotides) under Triticum aestivum (bread wheat). RNAcentral describes it as "tRNA-Val (CAC) (tRNA-Val-CAC-9-1)". It matches the Rfam family "tRNA". From Rfam's summary of the family: Transfer RNA (tRNA) molecules are approximately 80 nucleotides in length. Their secondary structure includes four short double-helical elements and three loops (D, anti-codon, and T loops). Lineage: Eukaryota; Viridiplantae; Streptophyta; Magnoliopsida; Poales; Poaceae. RNAcentral also lists the same sequence under 2 other names. The record is from Rfam by way of RNAcentral.
GUCUGGAUGGUGUAGUUGGUUAUCACGUUAGUCUCACACACUAAAGGUCCCCAGUUCGAACCUGGGCUCAGACA